RNAcentral lists this long non-coding RNA (307 nucleotides) under Serinus canaria (Common canary). RNAcentral's name for it is "lncRNA (ENSSCAG00000013119.1)". Lineage: Eukaryota; Metazoa; Chordata; Aves; Passeriformes; Fringillidae. The record is from RNAcentral.
CAGGAGACGAGGAGCUGUGUCCUACGUGUCUCUCUGCAGUAUUUCAGUCCAGUGUAGGAAGAGGUUCAGAAGUCCUCAUCAAGAGACGUGGUGGGACUUCAGUUAAAAGGGAAAUCUGCAUCAUCCUCUGUGAAGGCUGUCUGGUUGCUGUCUUAACUGUUGGUCACACACACCUGGGCCGAAAACGACUGGCAUCUGAAACCCCUUGGACUUGCUGGAGGCAGCCUAGUCUACCUGCGGAUGUUGUGAAUUAGGAGCUGGCCAAAGAGUGGGAGAGCUCCAGGAUCCCUCCCCAAAAAAGAGUGCU